Molecule: non-coding RNA, 753 nt
Organism: Nicotiana tabacum (common tobacco)
Lineage: Eukaryota; Viridiplantae; Streptophyta; Magnoliopsida; Solanales; Solanaceae
Source: RefSeq, a predicted model, not a curated record
UUCUAGAAUUAUUCCCUGAUUUUUCUGUGCACACAACAGAUUUCAUUCUCGAUAUAAGACCUCAUCUCCUCUCAUUUUUACUCUCUCUGGAUUCAAAACAGACUUUCACCCUAAGAAAUCUCUGAAAUUCAGAUUUCUUUUCCUUCAUUUUGAGACUGACUUGGAAACAGAUUUGAAAUUCAAUUUUUCUUCUUUUUAAAAAUUGAGAACUUCCCUCUCAUUUGGCUAUGAUUCCGCAUUAGAGUUUCAUUGGUCUUUGGUUUUACUGCUGGAUUUUUGGUUUGAAAAUCAAAGCUCAUGUAUACUUUUUCCACUGCUAUUGGCUGCUACUGUUUAAGCUGUGUUUUUCUGCUGCACUUCUCAACUUCAGAGAUCUAUUUUCUAUCUUGUCUAUCUUGCAGUAAUCAGAAUGAGCACUGUUCAGAAUUUACCGGUGAAGGUUAUGGAUCAGAUUCCACUAGCAAUCCACAUGUGGUGGGAAGACUUGGGAAAACAAGGGCAAGACAAGGUCAACUGAUAUCUAGAGGCACUCACUAAACUAUUAAAAAUUCAACCUAGAAGGGAUUUGAUAGAGGCACUGGUUUCGUUCUGGGAUCCCGCUCACAAUGUUUUGUAUUUCUCAGAUUUUGAGCUUACACCUACCUUGGAACAAAUUGCGGGUUAUACCGAGAAUACGGAGGGAUUAAGGCACAAGUAUAUGAUAUCUCCAAGGACUGUUACUCCCCACAAGUUUCUAGACCUACUGAAAAUAAA